RNAcentral lists this ribosomal RNA (512 nucleotides) under uncultured bacterium. RNAcentral's name for it is "partial 16S ribosomal RNA". It matches the Rfam family "Bacterial small subunit ribosomal RNA", at positions 28 to 523 of the family's 1533-position model. The record is from RNAcentral.
GACGAACGCUGGCGGCGUGCCUAAUACAUGCAAGUCGAGCGAAUUGAUGGGAGCUUGCUCCCUGAUAUUAGCGGCGGACGGGUGAGUAACACGUGGGUAACCUGCCUGUAAGAUUGGGAUAACUCCGGGAAACCGGAGCUAAUACCGGAUAACAUUUCGAACCGCAUGGUUUGAAAUUGAAAGAUGGUUUCGGUUAUCACUUACAGAUGGACCCGCGGCGCAUUAGCUAGUUGGUGAGGUAACGGCUCACCAAGGCAACGAUGCGUAGCCGACCUGAGAGGGUGAUCGGCCACACUGGGACUGAGACACGGCCCAGACUCUUACGGGAGGCAGCAGUAGGGAAUCUUCCGCAAUGGACGAAAGUCUGACGGAGCAACGCCGCGUGAACGAUGAAGGCCUUCGGGUCGUAAAGUUCUGUUGUUAGGGAAGAACAAGUACCAGAGUAACUGCUGGUACCUUAACGGUACCUAACCAGAAAGCCACGGCUAACUACGUGCCAGCAGCCGCCGUAA